UACCUAGGUGGCAAGCGUUGUCCGGAUUUACUGGGUGUAAAGGGCGUGUAGCCGGGCUUACAAGUCAGAUGUGAAAUCCGGGGGCUCAACCCCCGAACUGCAUUUGAAACUGUAGGUCUUGAGUAUCGGAGAGGCAGGCGGAAUUCCUAGUGUAGCGGUGAAAUGCGUAGAUAUUAGGAGGAACACCAGUGGCGAAGGCGGCCUGCUGGACGACAACUGACGGUGAGGCGCGAAAGCGUGGGGAGCAAACAGG
This 253-nucleotide ribosomal RNA is filed under the name uncultured bacterium. RNAcentral's name for it is "partial 16S ribosomal RNA". It matches the Rfam family "Bacterial small subunit ribosomal RNA", at positions 524 to 776 of the family's 1533-position model. The record is from RNAcentral.